Molecule: long non-coding RNA, 467 nt
Filed under: Spirodela polyrhiza (greater duckweed)
Lineage: Eukaryota; Viridiplantae; Streptophyta; Magnoliopsida; Alismatales; Araceae
Description: long non-coding RNA (SPOL_LNC000273)
Source: RNAcentral
GAGCUUCGAGAAGAACCAGAACCCAGAGUGGAACCAGGUCUUCGCCUUCGCCAGAGACCAGCUGCAAGCCUCCGAGCUGGAGGUGGUCGUCAAGGAAAAAUCCCUGCUCAGGGACGACCAUCUGGGGCUGGUCCGCCUCGACGUCUACGAGGUGCCGAGGCGCGUGCCCCCGGACAGCCCCCUCGCCCCGGAGUGGUACCGGCUUGAGAACAAGAAGGGGGAGAAGCUCAUGUGCGAGCUCAUGCUGGCCGUCUGGUUCGGCUCGCAGGCGGACGAGACCUUCCCCGACGCCGUGAUCUCAGAUGCGAUGGUGACCUCGGAGGAGAGCCCCGCCAGCGCUCACCUGCGGGGCAAGGUCUACCACGCGCCUCGGCUCUGGUACAUCCGGGUCAGGAUCAUCAAAGCCCAGGACAUCGUGCCGGCGGGGGACGAGGGCAAGCCGGCGGAGGUGAGAGUCAGUGCCCAGG